Molecule: long non-coding RNA, 679 nt
Filed under: Androctonus crassicauda
Lineage: Eukaryota; Metazoa; Arthropoda; Arachnida; Scorpiones; Buthidae
Source: RNAcentral
CUAUUAAAUUUUUAAUGCCAUUUUGCACCAGUUAUUUAUGUGAUAAGUGAUUUCCAACAAUGUUAUGUUUAAAAAACAAAUAUAGAACAAAAUUAAUACUUCAGUCUAAUUUAUGCUUAAAACUAAGUAACAUAGAGCCUGACGUUAAAAAAUUGUUUUGCAAAGCACGAUUGAAGUUCUCAUUAAUUUUAAUUAAAAAAUAUUGUUUUUAUAUAGUUUUUUAUGUAAUAAUUUUGGAAAUGCUGUAAUAAUAAUAGAUAUUUUGUUUCUAAAUAAACUAAAUCAACUUUUAUUAUGGAAAUUAUAUUUUGGUUACCAAAAAAUUAAAUAUUUUUUAUUUGCCUAUCUAUUCUUUAUUUUGAUGCAGAAAUUUAUCAUCAAUGGUGGUAGUACAAAGAAAUUUUGAUACUUUUUGGGUGGUACAUGGAACCAAAAGGUUGAGAACCACUGCACUAUAGUUAUAGGUGGUCUAUGGUGAAUGUUAGAAUAAUUCAUCACUGUUUAGUUACAUCCAGCAGAAAAACAAAGCAAGAAAGCAGAACUUAUUGCAGAUAUAAGCAACCUACAAAAGGCAUUGAAAUGCCUUGCUCCUUACUAUCCAAUAGGAUGGAAAGUGGCAUAAAAUUUAAUAAGAAAAAGAUAUUUAAGGAUUUUUGGAAUAUCCUAUAUAUAGCAAGGA